This is a long non-coding RNA of Oncorhynchus gorbuscha (pink salmon), 839 nucleotides long. RefSeq lists it as uncharacterized. NCBI's taxonomy places the organism in Eukaryota, Metazoa, Chordata, Actinopteri, Salmoniformes, Salmonidae. The transcript is spliced from 3 exons. The record is from RefSeq and is a predicted model, not a curated record.
CUACGUGCUCCAGUGAACUAUUCUCCAGAACCCUUCCCAUCUAAUGAUUCAAAGCCUUCUCCUUACUGUGGUCUCGCCCACUCUGCUUGUAGCCUUGCUGUGACUGGUGGAGGAACAUGCAGCUGAAGAGUCAUAUACAAAUAUGAGGCUCACUCAUCACUUCUUCAAUCGAGAUGUGAACUUCUAUCAGAUUUAACGUUUGGAAGAGUCACACCACAAUGAAUGGAUGAGAGAGACGAGCGAGAGAGAGAAUCAACACAAUCACUUCAGCGGCUGCAGUACACACGGAUCCAGAGGAUUGAGAGGAGGAGAGGGACACAGGGUGGUUUCCUUCCCCACUCCGAGGCCACGAUGCUGGGCUUAUCCCGUCGCCGGCUCCUGCCUGCUCCAGAGCUCAGCUGGAGAAGACGAUGCUAGGCAGCUAAAUCUGGAUUAACAGACCUGGGCAGACGAUUUUCAAUGCUCCUCCAAAUUCUAAGAUGAAGUUAUGGAAAGGCGCCAGUUUUGUCUUCAUGCUGUGUGCUACGUUACUGUUCCUCCUCCUCACUAGAAACACCCUGGUUACUACUGGACCUGCAAGACUUCAACCUAGGAUAGCGUUGUCGUCAUCAUCUUCAUCAUCAUCAUCAUCAUCAUUAUCGUCAAAACCACUGUCACUAUCAGUGACAGAGCCAAUACCACCACCACCACCACCAUUAUCUUCAGGAGCAUUAUCAUCACCAUCAUCAUCAUCAUCACCAGUAUUAUCAUCAUCAUCAUCACCAGUAUUAUCAUCAUCAUCAUCGUCUUCCUCCUCAUCCAGGAUGAAGGCUGGGCUCCACAGAACAGUGCGGGCUGUA